This is a long non-coding RNA of Humulus lupulus (European hop), 439 nucleotides long. RefSeq lists it as uncharacterized. NCBI's taxonomy places the organism in Eukaryota, Viridiplantae, Streptophyta, Magnoliopsida, Rosales, Cannabaceae. The record is from RefSeq and is a predicted model, not a curated record. The transcript is spliced from 3 exons.
UUUUAUAUCUCCAUCGUGACUCUUCUUUAAGAGUGAUACACAGAGAUUUAAAGGCCAGCAACAUUCUUUUAGAUGAGAAAAUGAACCCAAAGAUAUCAGACUUUGGAUAGGCUCGCAUUUUCGAAGGAACACUAGAUCUCGCAAAUACUCAAAGGGUUGUUGGAACUUUAGGCUACAUGUCUCCUGAAUAUGCCAUGGGUGGAGUCUUUUCAGAAAAAUCAGAUGUCUUUAGCUUUGGCGUAUUGAUCUUGGAAAUAGUGAGCGGCAAGAAGAACUCUAACUUCCAUUAUUAUGAGAAACCUCUUAGCCUUAUUGCUCAUGCAUGGCAAUUAUGGAGUGAUAACAGAGGAUUAGAGUUUGUGGAUGAUGCAUUGGGUGGCUCACGUAGUGCAUCAGAAGCAAUAAGAUGCGUACAUGUUGGGCUGUUGUGCGUACAAGA